AGGGAGAACACAAGUAAACCUCCGUCGAAAAGAGCACCAACUAGUAGUGGGCCCUAAGUAGUAGCGUGGAUUUAAAGUGCAGCUGCAUUCUAUUUACAGGCAAAAAGAAAUAAAAUCAGAAAAUGUUGACGCUUUUCUUCAUUUCCUUAUUUCUUAUUCUCGUUCUCUCCGCUCUUCUCUUCAAGUUUGCCAUUUCUGAUGGAGAUUUUACUUUACUAUCUAGAAGGCAUGUAAAGCGUGAAGAAAUUGAAGAUAAGGUUGUGUGGAUUACUGGAGCUAGCCGUGGGAUUGGAGAAAUUCUUGCUAAACAAUUGGCAAGUUUAGGGGCCAAACUUAUUCUUUCUGCACGAAAUGAAACUGAACUGGAGCGAGUUAGGAAACAACUUACUGGUAAAUAUGCACCUGAACAGGUAAAGAUUUUGCCCCUUGAUUUGACAUCUGGAGAGGUUACACUCAAGGAAGCUGUAGAAAAAGCAGAAUCCUUUUUUCCUGGUGUUGGUGUUGAUUAUAUGAUCCACAAUGCAGCUUAUGAGCGUCCUAAAAUAACAGCUUUGGAUGUAACAGAGGAAAGCCUUAAGGCUACAUUCAAUGUCAAUGUAUUUGGGACAAUAUGUCUCACACGGCUACUGACACCUUUUAUGCUGAGGAGGGGAAGAGGUCACUUUGUUGUGAUGAGCAGUGCUGCUGGAAAGACACCUGCACCUGGUCAGGCGGUAUACUCUGCUUCUAAAUAUGCUUUAAAUGGAUACUUUCAUUCCUUGCGUUCUGAGGAGUGGAAAGAGUGGGAAGGGGGCAAUUUAAAAGAGAUUGCAAUUGAAAGCCUGCUUUGUCAGAAAGGUAUCAAGGUUACUGUUGUUUGCCCAGGGCCAAUAGAAACAUCAAAUGGUUCUGGAGCAACUACUUCUGGAACUAAGGUUUCCUCUGAGAAGCGUGUGUCAGCUGAAAGGUGUGUCGAACUCACAGUCAUUGCUGCCUCUCAUGGUUUAAAGGAAGUUUGGAUAUCCUACCAGGAGCAAAAAUCGGGGAGGAUGAUUGGCACUGCUAAAGUUGAUGAUGGACUAUAUAUUUGGAAUAAAAACAAUACACAAGGGGGAUUGGCUCUAUCCACUUCAAAAGAGGACACUAUUAUGUUAUGGCAACGUAGCCUGUACUCGCGGUAAUGUAUCUGGUGCAGUACAUGCCUACAAUUGGCUAUUGGCUCAUGGACAAGGUUGGAGGGCGUCGAGUGGAAGCUGCUGCGCAGAAAGGCAACACCUACUCGUUGGGAUUACUUUUUGGGAAAAAGAAGGCAGCUUGAUCUCAACCAUCUUAAAUCCUUUUUCUUUUUUACUUGUUAGGCUACUGGGAUCACAGGAUGUAAAGAAUAUCUUAAUUUCUGUUGCAGACCAGAUUGAGAUCUUUACUAUGUCACCUUACCAAGCUAAUCUAUACUUAUCUGUAAAAGUUAUCCCUAACAAUGGCAUUGCUCAAUUUCAAUUUUAGUGUUCAACAACCAAUAUUUGGUAUUAAA
Molecule: RNA transcript, 1510 nt
Organism: Gossypium raimondii (Peruvian cotton)
Lineage: Eukaryota; Viridiplantae; Streptophyta; Magnoliopsida; Malvales; Malvaceae
Exons: 14
Source: RefSeq, a predicted model, not a curated record